GAGGUUAAGCGACUAAGCGUACACGGUGGAUGCCUAGGCAGUCAGAGGCGAUGAAGGGCGUGCUAAUCUGCGAAAAGCGUCGGUAAGGUGAUAUGAACCGUUAUAACCGACGAUACCCGAAUGGGGAAACCCAGUGCAAUUCGUUGCACUAUUGCAUGGUGAAUACAUAGCCAUGCAAGGCGAACCGGGGGAACUGAAACAUCUAAGUACCCCGAGGAAAAGAAAUCAACCGAGAUUCCCCCAGUAGCGGCGAGCGAACGGGGAGGAGCCCAGAACCUGAAUCAGCAUAUGUGUUAGUGGAAGCGUCUGGAAAGUCGCACGGUACAGGGUGAUAGUCCCGUACACAAAAAUGCAUAUGUUGUGAGUUCGAUGAGUAGGGCGGGACACGUGACAUCCUGUCUGAAUAUGGGGGGACCAUCCUCCAAGGCUAAAUACUCCUGACUGACCGAUAGUGAACCAGUACCGUGAGGGAAAGGCGAAAAGAACCCCGGCGAGGGGAGUGAAAUAGAACCUGAAACCGUGUACGUACAAGCAGUGGGAGCACCUUCGUGGUGUGACUGCGUACCUUUUGUAUAAUGGGUCAGCGACUUAUAUUUUGUAGCAAGGUUAACCGAAUAGGGGAGCCGUAGGGAAACCGAGUCUUAACUGGGCGAAUAGUUGCAAGGUAUAGACCCGAAACCCGGUGAUCUAGCCAUGGGCAGGUUGAAGGUUGGGUAACACUAACUGGAGGACCGAACCGACUAAUGUUGAAAAAUUAGCGGAUGACUUGUGGCUGGGGGUGAAAGGCCAAUCAAACCGGGAGAUAGCUGGUUCUCCCCGAAAGCUAUUUAGGUAGCGCCUCGUGAACUCAUCUUCGGGGUAGAGCACUGUUUCGGCUAGGGGGUCAUCCCGACUUACCAAACCGAUGCAAACUCCGAAUACCGAAGAAUGUUAUCACGGGAGACACACGGCGGGUGCUAACGUCCGUCGUGAAGAGGGAAACAACCCAGACCGCCAGCUAAGGUCCCAAAGUCAUGGUUAAGUGGGAAACGAUGUGGGAAGGCAUAGACAGCCAGGAUGUUGGCUUAGAAGCAGCCAUCAUUUAAAGAAAGCGUAAUAGCUCACUGGUCGAGUCGGCCUGCGCGGAAGAUGUAACGGGGCUAAACCAUGCACCGAAGCUGCGGCAGCGACACUUAGGUGUUGUUGGGUAGGGGAGCGUUCUGUAAGCCGUUGAAGGUGACCUGUGAGGGUUGCUGGAGGUAUCAGAAGUGCGAAUGCUGACAUAAGUAACGAUAAUGCGGGUGAAAAACCCGCACGCCGGAAGACCAAGGGUUCCUGUCCAACGUUAAUCGGGGCAGGGUGAGUCGACCCCUAAGGCGAGGCUGAAAAGCGUAGUCGAUGGGAAACAGGUUAAUAUUCCUGUACUUGGUGUUACUGCGAAGGGGGACGGAGAAGGCUAGGCUAGCCGGGCGACGGUUGUCCCGGUUUAAGCAUGUAGGCGGAGUGACUUGGUAAAUCCGGUUGCUUAUCAACGCUGAGGUGUGAUGACGAGCCACUACGGUGGUGAAGUAGUUGAUGCCAAGCUUCCAGGAAAAGCCUCUAAGCAUCAGGUAACAUUAAAUCGUACCCCAAACCGACACAGGUGGUCAGGUAGAGAAUACUCAGGCGCUUGAGAGAACUCGGGUGAAGGAACUAGGCAAAAUGGUGCCGUAACUUCGGGAGAAGGCACGCUGGCAUUAGGUAAAGAGACUUGCUCUCGGAGCUGAAGCCAGUCGCAGAUACCAGCUGGCUGCAACUGUUUAAUAAAAACACAGCACUGUGCAAACACGAAAGUGGACGUAUACGGUGUGACGCCUGCCCGGUGCUGGAAGGUUAAUUGAUGGGGUCAGCCGCAAGGCGAAGCUCUUGAUCGAAGCCCCAGUAAACGGCGGCCGUAACUAUAACGGUCCUAAGGUAGCGAAAUUCCUUGUCGGGUAAGUUCCGACCUGCACGAAUGGCGUAAUGAUGGCCAGGCUGUCUCCACCCGAGACUCAGUGAAAUUGAACUCGCUGUGAAGAUGCAGUGUACCCGCGGCAAGACGGAAAGACCCCGUGAACCUUUACUAUAGCUUGACACUGAACAUUGAGCCUUGAUGUGUAGGAUAGGUGGGAGGCAUCGAAGUGUGGACGCCAGUCUGCAUGGAGCCAACCUUGAAAUACCACCCUUUAAUGUUUGAUGUUCUAACUCGGCCCCGUGAUCCGGGGUGAGGACAGUGUCUGGUGGGUAGUUUGACUGGGGCGGUCUCCUCCCAAAGAGUAACGGAGGAGCACGAAGGUUAGCUAAUCACGGUCGGACAUCGUGAGGUUAGUGCAAAGGCAUAAGCUAGCUUGACUGCGAGAGUGACGGCUCGAGCAGGUACGAAAGUAGGUCUUAGUGAUCCGGUGGUUCUGAAUGGAAGGGCCAUCGCUCAACGGAUAAAAGGUACUCCGGGGAUAACAGGCUGAUACCGCCCAAGAGUUCAUAUCGACGGCGGUGUUUGGCACCUCGAUGUCGGCUCAUCACAUCCUGGGGCUGAAGUAGGUCCCAAGGGUAUGGCUGUUCGCCAUUUAAAGUGGUACGCGAGCUGGGUUUAGAACGUCGUGAGACAGUUCGGUCCCUAUCUGCCGUGGGCGUUGGAAGAUUGAGAGGGGCUGCUCCUAGUACGAGAGGACCGGAGUGGACGAAUCACUGGUGUUCGGGUUGUCAUGCCAAUGGCAUUGCCCGGUAGCUAAAUUCGGAAGAGAUAACCGCUGAAAGCAUCUAAGCGGGAAACUUGCCUCGAGAUGAGUCUUCCCUGGGGCUUUAAGCUCCCUGAAGGAACGUUAAAGACUAUGACGUUGAUAGGCUGGGUGUGUAAGUGCAGCGAUGCAUUGAGCUAACCAGUACUAAUGAUCCGUGAGGCUUAACCUUAC
This 2909-nucleotide ribosomal RNA is filed under the name Yersinia enterocolitica. Its description in RNAcentral is "23S ribosomal RNA". It matches the Rfam family "Bacterial large subunit ribosomal RNA". Lineage: Bacteria; Pseudomonadati; Pseudomonadota; Gammaproteobacteria; Enterobacterales; Yersiniaceae. The record is from RNAcentral.